UUCAGUGUGCUAGUGGUGCUAGUUUCUUUUUUUCUUCACUCUUUGAUUUGAGAAAGUGCAUCUUUGAUAGUGGUGGCUUUAUUUAAAUUAUUGGACGUAUGCAAUUUAAUUACCAAAACACAAGAUUAAAUUCUUUAAGGACCAUGACCCAUCAAUAAUAAUCUUUUCAAAAGGAGGCCUCCAUUUAGGUUCAAUAAUGUGUGUACUUGUGUGUCAUUCAUUUAUAAUGGUAGCUAAAGUAAAGGGUGAUGUUUACUCGAGG
RNAcentral lists this long non-coding RNA (262 nucleotides) under Panax ginseng (ginseng). Its description in RNAcentral is "long non-coding RNA (PGIN_LNC008808)". Lineage: Eukaryota; Viridiplantae; Streptophyta; Magnoliopsida; Apiales; Araliaceae. The record is from RNAcentral.